This 122-nucleotide transfer RNA is filed under the name Blastomyces percursus. It matches the Rfam family "tRNA". Rfam says of the family: Transfer RNA (tRNA) molecules are approximately 80 nucleotides in length. Their secondary structure includes four short double-helical elements and three loops (D, anti-codon, and T loops). Further hydrogen bonds mediate the characteristic L-shaped molecular structure. tRNAs have two regions of fundamental functional importance: the anti-codon, which is responsible for specific mRNA codon recognition, and the 3' end, to which the tRNAs corresponding amino acid is attached (by aminoacyl-tRNA synthetases). tRNAs cope with the degeneracy of the genetic code in two manners: having more than one tRNA (with a specific anti-codon) for a particular amino acid; and 'wobble' base-pairing, i.e. permitting non-standard base-pairing at the 3rd anti-codon position. The record is from Rfam by way of RNAcentral. Lineage: Eukaryota; Fungi; Ascomycota; Eurotiomycetes; Onygenales; Ajellomycetaceae.
GGCACUAUGGCGGAGUGGUUAACGCGAUGCCCUGCUAUUUAUCCAAAUUGCAGAGGAAAGAAAGUAUCUUUCCGGUUUAGGCAUUUCCUUCGGGAGCGCAGGUUCGAAUCCUGCUGGUGUCG